This is a long non-coding RNA of Oncorhynchus nerka (sockeye salmon), 505 nucleotides long. RefSeq lists it as uncharacterized. The transcript has 2 exons. The record is from RefSeq and is a predicted model, not a curated record. NCBI's taxonomy places the organism in Eukaryota, Metazoa, Chordata, Actinopteri, Salmoniformes, Salmonidae.
UACACAACAGGAGGAGAGACACGUUAGACUGAGAACCCAUCUACACCACAGGAGGAGAGACACGUUAGACUGAGAACCCAUCUACACCACAGGAGGAGAGACACGUUAGACUGAGAACCCAUCUACACCACAGGAGGAGAGACACGUUAGACUGAGAACCCAUCUACACCACAGGAGGAGAGACACGUUAGACUGAGAACCCAUCUACACAACAGGAGGAGAGACACGUUAGACUGAGAACCCAUCUACACCACAGGAGGGGAGGAGAACGACGAGUCUCUACAGGAUGGAACCAAUGAUGGAUAUAAACCCUGGAUUGACGAUGUUUUGGCCAUUGAGAGGCUUUGAAUCCACCGGUCGGCCAUGUUGGCACUCCCCAGGAGGAGCAGUCCUGCAUUAGAAUGAAUGGACUUCUACAGUGUUUCAGUUAAAAAUGACAAACAUUUCAAAAAGUAUAACAAUUGUGUGGCAAAAACAACAUGUAGACAUUAAAUGCAUUUCUAUA